This is a non-coding RNA of Paramuricea clavata, 682 nucleotides long. The record is from the annotation of a GenBank genome assembly. Lineage: Eukaryota; Metazoa; Cnidaria; Anthozoa; Malacalcyonacea; Plexauridae.
GUUUUUAGGACUGAAUUUAUUUUAAUUUCGCUUAAUUUCUUUAUCAGUAAUGUCUCAAUCAAUUCCAUGGGUGCCCAACACCCCCCCCCCCCCGGGCGUUUGUCGGGCUUUUGUCAUUUUGGCGAAAAAACGUUGCAAAUGCCCCAGCAUGGGGUCCAAAUAAUGCAACAAAAUCCCCACCCUUGGGGACUUACAUUGACGCAAAUGCCCCACCCUUGGGGGACAAAAUAUAAGUUUUCUGAGGAUUUCUGAUCCAAAAAAUCGAAUCCAAGCUCUAUCACGUAUCAAUAUAUCUGUAUUUAAAAUCGAUUCUAUAGCCAUUUCGUUUUAAAACGUUUUUAAUUAAAAUAUUGAAGUCUCAAAACUUUAUAUAGCAAUAUCAAACUGCAGAAGUAAGUCAAUGUAUCAACAGGAUGGACAAGAAAAAAGUCUUGUGUAUGUCCGCCAUGAUUAAUUUGCGAUACGCACGCUCGUGUAAACAUGCGUACUAAAGUACGGCUAAAUGGCGAAACAAGCGAUAAAUAUUCGACUUUUUAGCCUCGAGCAAAUUCCCCACCCCGGGGCUAACCUGCAGAAAGCAAAUGCCCGACCCUGGGAACAAGUACAGUUGAGAAUGCCCGACAAACGCCCGGGGGGGGGGGGGUGUUGGGCAACCAUGGAAUUGAUUGAGACAUUAUAUAAC